AGGCACUUUUAUACUGGUGAAACUGCGAAAUGGGCUCAUUAAAUCAGUUAUCGUUUAUUUGAUAGUACCUUACUACAUGGAUACCUGUGGUAAUUCUAGAGCUAAUACAUGCUAAAAACCUCGACUUCGGAAGGGGUGUAUUUAUUAGAUAAAAAACCAAUGCCCUUCGGGGCUCCUUGGUGAUUCAUAAUAACUUAACGAAUCGCAUGGCCUUGCGCCGGCGAUGGUUCAUUCAAAUUUCUGCCCUAUCAACUUUCGAUGGUAGGAUAGUGGCCUACCAUGGUGGCAACGGGUAACGGGGAAUUAGGGUUCGAUUCCGGAGAGGGAGCCUGAGAAACGGCUACCACAUCCAAGGAAGGCAGCAGGCGCGCAAAUUACCCAAUCCCGACACGGGGAGGUAGUGACAAUAAAUACUGAUACGGGGCUCUUUUGGGUCUCGUAAUUGGAAUGAGUACAAUCUAAAUCCCUUAACGAGGAACAAUUGGAGGGCAAGUCUGGUGCCAGCAGCCGCGGUAAUUCCAGCUCCAAUAGCGUAUAUUAAAGUUGUUGCAGUUAAAAAGCUCGUAGUUGAACCUUGGGUCUGGCUGGCCGGUCCGCCUCACCGCGAGUACUGGUCCGGCUGGACCUUUCCUUCUGGGGAACCUCAUGGCCUUCACUGGCUGUGGGGGGAACCAGGACUUUUACUGUGAAAAAAUUAGAGUGUUCAAAGCAGGCCUUUGCUCGAAUACAUUAGCAUGGAAUAAUAGAAUAGGACGUGCGGUUCUAUUUUGUUGGUUUCUAGGACCGCCGUAAUGAUUAAUAGGGAUAGUCGGGGGCGUCAGUAUUCAGCUGUCAGAGGUGAAAUUCUUGGAUUUGCUGAAGACUAACUACUGCGAAAGCAUUCGCCAAGGAUGUUUUCAUUAAUCAGGGAACGAAAGUUAGGGGAUCGAAGACGAUCAGAUACCGUCGUAGUCUUAACCAUAAACUAUGCCGACUAGGGAUCGGGCGGUGUUUCUAUGAUGACCCGCUCGGCACCUUACGAGAAAUCAAAGUUUUUGGGUUCUGGGGGGAGUAUGGUCGCAGGCUGAACUAAGAAAUUGAGGGAGGAAGAAGAA
Molecule: ribosomal RNA, 1094 nt
Filed under: Aspergillus terreus
Lineage: Eukaryota; Fungi; Ascomycota; Eurotiomycetes; Eurotiales; Aspergillaceae
Description: SSU rRNA
Rfam family: Eukaryotic small subunit ribosomal RNA
Source: RNAcentral